Molecule: non-coding RNA, 47 nt
Organism: Peptoanaerobacter stomatis
Lineage: Bacteria; Bacillati; Bacillota; Clostridia; Peptostreptococcales; Filifactoraceae
Source: Rfam
UAAAAGGCUUCUUUUGAAGUCACAUAACCAUAAAAUUUUAAUAUCUU